Molecule: ribosomal RNA, 490 nt
Filed under: uncultured bacterium
Lineage: Bacteria
Description: bacterial SSU rRNA
Rfam family: Bacterial small subunit ribosomal RNA
Source: RNAcentral
AAAUGAAUUGACGGGGGCCCGCACAAGCAGUGGAGUAUGUGGUUUAAUUCGAAGCAACGCGAAGAACCUUACCGGGGCUUGACAUGGGGACGACAGGUGUAGAGAUACACCCUUCUUCGGACGUCCCACACAGGUGGUGCAUGGUUGUCGUCAGCUCGUGUCGUGAGAUGUUGGGUUAAGUCCCGCAACGAGCGCAACCCUUAUCAUUAGUUGCUACAUUUAGUUGAGCACUCUAAUGAGACUGCCGUUGGCAAAACGGAGGAAGGUGGGGAUGACGUCAAAUCAUCAUGCCCUUUAUGUCCCGGGCUACACACGUACUACAAUGGCAUUUAACAAUGAGUCGCGAACCCGCGAGGGGAAGCUAAUCUCCAAAAAGUGCCUCAGUUCAGAUUGCAGGCUGCAACUCGCCUGCAUGAAGUCGGAAUUGCUAGUAAUCGUGAAUCAGAAUGUCACGGUGAAUACGUUCCCGGGCCUUGCACACACCGCCCGU